RNAcentral lists this ribosomal RNA (661 nucleotides) under uncultured bacterium. Its description in RNAcentral is "bacterial SSU rRNA". It matches the Rfam family "Bacterial small subunit ribosomal RNA", at positions 60 to 737 of the family's 1533-position model. The record is from RNAcentral.
AGUCGAGCGGUAGCACAGAGAGCUUGCUCUCGGGUGACGAGCGGCGGACGGGUGAGUAAUGUCUGGGAAACUGCCUGAUGGAGGGGGAUAACUACUGGAAACGGUAGCUAAUACCGCAUAACGUCGCAAGACCAAAGUGGGGGACCUUCGGGCCUCAUGCCAUCAGAUGUGCCCAGAUGGGAUUAGCUUGUAGGUGGGGUAACGGCUCACCUAGGCGACGAUCCCUAGCUGGUCUGAGAGGAUGACCAGCCACACUGGAACUGAGACACGGUCCAGACUCCUACGGGAGGCAGCAGUGGGGAAUAUUGCACAAUGGGCGCAAGCCUGAUCCAGCCAUGCCGCGUGUGUGAUGAAGGCCUUAGGGUUGUAAAGCACUUUCGCCGAUGACGAUAAUGACUGUAGUCGGAGAAGAAGCACCGGCUAACUCCGUGCCAGCAGCCGCGGUAAUACGGAGGGUGCAAGCGUUAAUCGGAAUUACUGGGCGUAAAGCGCACGCAGGCGGUCUGUCAAGUCGGAUGUGAAAUCCCCGGGCUCAACCUGGGAACUGCAUCCGAAACUGGCAGGCUAGAGUCUUGUAGAGGGGGGUAGAAUUCCAGGUGUAGCGGUGAAAUGCGUAGAGAUCUGGAGGAAUACCGGUGGCGAAGGCGGCCCCCUGGACAAA